This 253-nucleotide ribosomal RNA is filed under the name uncultured bacterium. RNAcentral's name for it is "partial 16S ribosomal RNA". It matches the Rfam family "Bacterial small subunit ribosomal RNA", at positions 524 to 776 of the family's 1533-position model. The record is from RNAcentral.
UACGUAGGGGGCAAGCGUUGUCCGGAAUCAUUGGGCGUAAAGCGCGUGUAGGCGGCUCGAUAAGUCUGCUGUGAAAGUCCAAGGCUCAACCUUGGGAUGCCGGUGGAUACUGUCGAGCUCGAGUCCGGAAGAGGAGUGUGGAAUUCCUGGUGUAGCGGUGAAAUGCGCAGAUAUCAGGAGGAACACCAAUGGCGAAGGCAGCACUCUGGGACGUGACUGACGCUGAGGAGCGAAAGCGUGGGGAGCGAACAGG